This 537-nucleotide long non-coding RNA is filed under the name Actinidia chinensis (golden kiwifruit). RNAcentral describes it as "long non-coding RNA (ACHI_LNC000430)". The record is from RNAcentral. Lineage: Eukaryota; Viridiplantae; Streptophyta; Magnoliopsida; Ericales; Actinidiaceae.
UGCAAUUAUCCCUUCUACAAGUAUUAUCACCCAUAAUGAAAAGAGAAAAAUAAAGAUCAAAAUCUGCAUAUAAUAGAUUACUCUUCCAAUGCAACACACGUGGGUAUUAUCAAAUCAUAAAAGCCAUAUAACUUUAUUUAGGUAGGACAAAAAUAAUUACCUCUCAAGCAACAAGGCUGUAAAAGGUGCGGCCGCGUGAUAUAAAAAUAUGUUUUCCCAAUAGUAAUAUAAUCAUAAAUAUAUAAAAUAAAAAUAAAAAGAGAGAGAGAACUUAGAAUCGUAUGAGAGGGGUUAAAACCAAAAAAAAGUAAAUAAAUAAAAAGUCUCUAUACCCAUAAUUAAACUACAGAAAACUAUAGGGUCCAUAUUCUACUAUGGUGUAUUGUGUAUCAUAAACAAAAUGAAUCUGGUUUAUACACGCAAAAAAAAAUCUGUGGAGUGUAAAUACACGAAACUCUAAAACCCUGUUUGGCAGCCAGGAAAACGCAACGAACGGGGAAUGAUAAAUUAGAUGUGAAACUUUUAAUUAAGAGUCAA